UCACGACUCCAGCACUGCGAGGAGGGGGUCGGGCUCUGGAGCCUCCUGCAGCUGACUGCCCUGCUCUCUGCCCAGCCUGAUGAUGUCACAGAGGGUUUGAGAGGCAUUGGACUGUCUCUGGAAGGAAAAGGAGAUGCAGUACUCUCCUCAGCGCUGAGAAAGGUCAGCAGAGCUGCCCCGCUCGCUGCUCAGUUCUCAGGACGCUGGACUCUGAACCGGUCCGUCUCAGAAAUGCCUGGUGGGCCUUUCUGAUGUCAGAAUGCAAAUCUAAUCAGACCUUUUGCUGUACUGACCGAUCCCCAAGAGACCAAAUGGGGCUCUCUUAAGGGUUAAAUACACUACACAGACAUUGCUCCACCCCUGGAACCACUGUAAGAUACACUGUAUAUAUGACCUCGUUACUGAUACUGUAUUUCAAAUUCAUACUUUAAAUAUUAAAACCUAGCUGGUAACAUUCAGGAGAAGUCCUACAAGCUAAUGGAAAAAGGCAGGUGCCACAGAGAAAACAGGAGGCCUCGACUCUUCUGGGCAACACUAAUCCUUAGCCGGUGAAGACUGGAUGGUGCCCUUGCAACACUGAUCUUAUUUCUUUAAGAGAGAGAGCGAGAGUGAGCACAAGCAUAAGGGAGGAGCAGAGGGAGAGGGAGAAGCAGACUCCCCGCUGACACGGGGCUUGAUCCCAGGACCCCAGGAUCAUGACUUGAGCCAAAGGCAGACAUUUAACCAACUGAGCCACACAGGUGCUCCUGGACCAUCCCUUCUAAGAUGAGUUUGCAGAAAAAGGACUGCCAUGAUGCUUACUCCAAAGGAAGCCAGCAGCAUGUUGUGAGCUGCCCUGCUGGUGACCAUGGAAACGGAUCCUCCCCCCGCUGAGCCUGGGACCACGGUCUUGUGACAGACCAUAGGCAGAGCACCCACUAAGCCACGUCCAGGUCCCUGACUCAUAGAAACAGAAAUAAAAACAUACUUUCUGUUACAA
Canis lupus familiaris (dog) is the source of this 979-nucleotide long non-coding RNA. RefSeq lists it as uncharacterized. Lineage: Eukaryota; Metazoa; Chordata; Mammalia; Carnivora; Canidae. The record is from RefSeq and is a predicted model, not a curated record. The transcript has 2 exons.